RNAcentral lists this ribosomal RNA (430 nucleotides) under uncultured Dialister sp. RNAcentral describes it as "bacterial SSU rRNA". It matches the Rfam family "Bacterial small subunit ribosomal RNA", at positions 356 to 776 of the family's 1533-position model. The record is from RNAcentral. Lineage: Bacteria; Bacillati; Bacillota; Negativicutes; Veillonellales; Veillonellaceae.
UGGGAAUCUUCCGCAAUGGGGCGAAAGCCUGACGGAGCAACGCCGCGUGAGUGAUGACGGCCUUCGGGUUGUAAAGCUCUGUGAUCGGGGACGAACGGUCCGUAAGCUAAUACCUUAUGGAAGUGACGGUACCCGAAUAGCAAGCCACGGCUAACUACGUGCCAGCAGCCGCGGUAAUACGUAGGUGGCAAGCGUUGUCCGGAAUUAUUGGGGCGUAAAGCGCGCGCAGGCGGCUUUCUAAGUCCAUCUUAAAAGUGCGGGGCUUAACCCCGUGAUGGGAUGGAAACUGGAAAGCUGGAGUAUCGGAGAGGAAAGUGGAAUUCCUAGUGUAGCGGUGAAAUGCGUAGAGAUUAGGAAGAACACCGGUGGCGAAGGCGACUUUCUGGACGACAACUGACGCUGAGGCGCGAAAGCGUGGGGAGCAAACAGG